UCGGUUCAGACUGCGCCGCUCUCCACCGCUGACGACGAGGCAGAUGUUGCGGAGCAGACUGUGCGUGCGUGCGUGCGUGCGCGUGGACGGACCUGAUGCCGUCCAGGUGCGUCCCGAGCCGCGCGCUCCGCGGUGCGCUGCGCUGCGCUCAAAUGGCAAACUGCGUCUGUGGGAAAGCGCGCAGAGCGCAGCGCGGCGCGGCUCCCUGUUACGACACGACCAAGGACACCAACCACGCGCUGCAUAUAUCCUCCUUUUCCCGUGUUUCUCUUAUAGAAAUAGUUCUGGUAAGUUGCCAUUUCUGACACGAUGUGCAGCGUCACCGUAGUUAAAUUCAUUUGGACGUAGAGACACGUGUGUUUCUGUGCGUCUCGGGAGUGACACAACUACCCCGGACACAAAGGUGUGGUUCUGUCUUCCUGGUUUUCAGUCAACACGACGUCAGCUGAGCUCCCGAUCAGAGACCUGGAGUCUUAUUAUCUAUCUGCAUCUAUUCAUCUCAUGGGCUUCACGUGUGGUGACAUGAAAAUAUGUCUGGCCAGAUCUAAAAAUAGAAUCCAGGUCAGGAGGUGUUUUUUUUUGUUGUUUUUUUUGGAGCUGCAAGUUUGUUUUUGCAAAAAGAACAUGACAUGAUGUUAUAAAGUUCACAAAUAUCACCCAAGCAAACAUUAGAUAUUGGUCUCCAGAGGGGGGCUCCAGGAGGUCAGCUAGUGAGAAGAUAAUUGGAAAAAUGUCCUACUGCAAUCAAAAAUGACCUAUUGAGAUGACUUUGCCGGGAAAAGUCCGUACAUACUUGAUAAUGAGGGUUGCGUUACAUUUCGUGAAAGCUAAUUAGACUUUUUCAAGGAGCGGGUGAAACGCAAACCCUCCAGAUGUCGCCUCCCUCUCUUUGUUUGGGCCUCAGACUUUAUUUGUGGUAAGAGAUCCGUUAGUCUGCAGACAGACAUUAUUAUUAAUCUGCCAUUCAGGCUCUUGCUGCACAGUGUGUGUGUGUGCGUGUGUGUGUGUGUGCGUGUGCGCCGCGCAAUUCAAAUUGACAAAAUUAAAACGGAAGUUUGUUGUUGUGCAACAUCAUAUUUAAUUUAACCGGUCUGAGUCAGACAGCUAUUUUAGCUUUUCAUCCAUUAGGUGAACAGCUUACGCAGGCUAGUCAUGAUGGAGGACCAAGCCAGAAAAACACAAAUAGAGGUCACAGCGAGCGAGAUGAGUAACCACGAGUCCCACUGAUGCAGCCAUUAGCCGCUCUGCACAAGCGCCUGGCGUUGAUGAACUGUGCUCCGAAUAUGCUGCCUCAGCCUUGUGGGCACGCAAUAAACUUUGACUUCAUCCCCGGUCCCUCUACCUCUGCAGGAAGAUGAAGCGCGCCCCCCCACGGACCGUAAGCACCGCGCUCCGCGCCUCUCGGGCCUGGAACCCAAACACGUGGGUAAUAAAAAGCCUCGUUUCCAGCAGAGCUGACAAGUGUUUGCAGUUGGUUAACGGCGCGUGCAGCAGCUAAUUAAUAGAAAAAUACACAUCCCUCGGCCUUUAAGGAUCAUUAGCCGCGCUUUUAUUUUAGCGCCGUAUAGCGGGACAAACCCGCCAUGUGACAAAUUGAGUAUUCAAUUAUGUACAAACACAAAGUUUAAUCCCUUAUCCUGAUCCCUUCGGGAUUUCUACUUCUUUAGGCCAGUUGAGCUGCUCUGCAAUCCCCCCCCACGUAUCCAAAAGAAGCUCCUCGUGGGGCCCAAGAGCUCCUGGUUGGGAUCCCGCUUGUUGCUGGAGUUGUUGAAAGCAGAUUACAGGUUAUUCUUUUUUUUUAAUAUCAAUGCCUCACAUUGAUUUAAUACAUCUUUCCUCGUAAAGGUUCUGGCCCCUCGGUGGGAUAUUGAUCCGUGUUCUUUUCCCCAACACGAGGUCUGUUCCUCACCAUUACGACCCUGCAGAACAUCUCCAGAUGCAAUAUUAAUGACACGAGCGGUGGAUGAGUAGCAACCUGACGGCUCGCUGGGGGCCCGCUAGGGGCCUGCUGGGGGCUCGCUGGCUCACGCAGUUCGAUGACAUCAGGCAGAGCGGAGACCUUCCCGGGGAAAGAAGAGACAGUGAGACAGUGGGAGGGACGUGUCCUCGGUUAGUAGAUCCGUGGUGCGGAUCAGCUCACAGGCAAAAGUUUUGUUUUAUCAAAUUCUGUUGAAUGAAAUCAACUAUUUUUGAACUGGGAUGAUACAAAAAGCAGGAAACCGCUGUGACAUUUUCAAGGAGUGAGAGGAACUAACAGGAAGCAUAUUUAUUAUAAAAACAGAACUGGACUGAACAGAUUUAUGCCAACUAUCCCGUCCGACGACAUUUUAAAUUCUGUACAUUGAAUAACAUCCUUAUUUAUACAUCACUGUCUGAAAAAUUACUCUUGAUAAAUAAUUGGGAACCUAAAGGUUUAAUGACUCUUUUCCAUAUGAUUCAGUUGCACAGGUGGUUUAAAGGUUGAGACCUCUACUUUUUAAACGAGUGAAUAAGGGCGAUUUAACAUUUAACAAGUGUUAAAAUCCACAGCCCAUUUCCAUUAACUUUCAACUAUGCAGAUUCUGGACGGUAAAAUCUUAACAUGCAGAUAGGAUUUGUCAAGCAUAACGACAAACAUUUUAUUUAAUUCUGAAGGCGGUGGCGAGAAAAGUGGCCUCCGGGGCGAACGCUAAUGGGGAUCUGAGCGGAACGCUUAGAAGGAAAGAAUAAAAAGCCAAAUGUCACUCUGGAUGGCAUUUAGUCCCACGUCACCCUCGCAGCCAUUUACCUUCCAGUGAAAAUAUACAUUCCUCCUCCCGCCGACGCCUGAAAGCCAUCAUUAUGAUAUAAUGAGUCAUAAUGGUCAAGAAAAAAAAAAAGGCGUCUAUUUUGAGUUAAAUACAUCACAUAAAUGCAUGCACCUUUUUUUGUACAUGUCAUUGAACUUUUAAACAGCGGGCGGGUUCAGGAAGUCCCACUCGACCUCCACCCAAGUGGCCUCACGGAGAAAAAGGUGCUUAAUGCCCCGAAACCGAGGUUGUGCGUUGUGAUUAAGAUGCUCCCAUUCAACAUUUAACGCCGCACUAAUCAAUAUUAUUACAGAAACCAUGGUUAAAGUGUCUGUGCUGUGAAAUAGUUUACUCACCGUGAUAACAACCUUUAGUGUCCUUUUACUGGCAGUUUUCACAACUUGAACUAGUUGUGAGUUGGAUAACUGCCACAAUCUGAUGAAAUGCAUGUUGGUCAAAAUGAAUCAAUCAUGCUUUAAUCCUCGGCCGUGACACCAUAAAAAGAUUAAAGUGGUAUCUGACUUUCAAGGCCGUGAAAAGCUUCUGGGGGCGAUGAAGCUUUCAUUGCAAGACCUGCUGAGAAAGUUGAUGGUCUCAGAUUUUACUUUGAAGGGACUAUUUGUUCGAAGAAAUACCUUUAAGCUGGAUUUCUUUUAAAAAGGUGUACUUUCAUCACAUAAGGCUGUGCAAAAAGCAUCCGCGUGAAUUAAAGCACUGCAGGGUCCUCUUCACCGUCACAGCUGUUUUUUUUUGGUCUCAUCCAGCACUCGACAAGUAGACAGUAAAGUGCAAAGUGGCAAGGAAGUGCAUUUCCCCAGAGUGGAUGUUUGUGCCUUUGUUUGCUGAGAAAAAGCACAGAUUUGAAGCGCAGUCCGCCGCUGUUUCACCCGGCAGCGAUGAGGCGGCUCCAGAAAGAAGAUGAACCGUACUUUCGUCUUCGUCGCCCCCCAUCUGGUCGACCCAGAGUUCCGCUGCUGUUGUGCAACGUUGAAGAGGUGGACGGGAGAGUAACGUCCUUCAACGCUGCUGCGACAGUCCCCACAACAUAACUAUCAACUAAUUGGCUUUAACUGUAGCGUUUAUGUGUCGCCAGUGGCGAAUUCAUCAGCUGCUUAGAAACCGUCUGACUAGUAACAAGGGCUCCCAUUCAUAUGGGUUCAUAUGGCAACCUUUAUAAACUGACACUUCUCUAUUAUUACCCUGGUGGAACCUUCAUGCCUUCAGCCUUCUGCAGCUCCUUCUGUCACCUCCACCUACGCAUCAUAUGCUAAGCUUUUGUUGAUUUAACUGGGACCUGAUGUUCAUGGGUUGUUUUGGUUCUUCUACAUAAUCCUCCGUGUUGCUGUUUGAGAAGCUCUUGUCUGCACAAACGUCAGAAGUACUUCUACGAAAUACUCAGAAAUACUUCUCAUGUUCUUUUUCGUCCUGCCUCUACUACCACAAAGGUGGAGAGAACUAUUUAAUGACCACCAGGUCUCUCUUGCUGGAGUUGCAUUUAAGAGUCAUAAAAUGUGCUCUUACAUCGAACCAACAACCCCUGCAGACGAUAUGGCAACCAGGGCCGAACACCGAGCAUGACUGGAACUGCUGGAGUGAUGAUAACCCGUUAAGUCCGGCUCCUGCUGCAGAGAAGUGAGUUUUUAAUGAAUUAAAUGAGGUUUGGACGCUCUAAUAUCAGUCAUGAGAGAACACACUGUGGCUCCCACGAGGCCCCGGGGCCACUAGCUUUAUGAGCACUGUAAAUCAAAGUGUAAUUAUUCUUCUUUUUUUUUACAGAGUCACAAAGUUUGUUGGUGCACCUGCUGCUGUUUUUGGUGAACAAUGAAAAAAUAUCAACUUCUGUUGCUGUGAGUGAGGAUAUAGUUCCCAAUGAUUUCAAGGUCGGUGUGCCAGCUGGUAUUUACUGUAUAUUCCCUCCAAUAUGAUACGCUUAUUAAAAAUCAGCCAUCUAAUCAAAUCAAAGAUUGUUUAUAUCAUUGAUGGUGUGUGGUUAACUCACACACUGUAAAAUCCAGAUCCAAGGAGUAAAAUAUCCCCAAAAAUAAAACGGUUUUCUCCCUUUAAUGUCAAACCGUUAGCGGUUAUUG
Gasterosteus aculeatus aculeatus (three-spined stickleback) is the source of this 4855-nucleotide long non-coding RNA. The record is from Ensembl. Lineage: Eukaryota; Metazoa; Chordata; Actinopteri; Perciformes; Gasterosteidae.